Molecule: ribosomal RNA, 382 nt
Filed under: uncultured bacterium
Lineage: Bacteria
Description: bacterial SSU rRNA
Rfam family: Bacterial small subunit ribosomal RNA
Source: RNAcentral
AUUGAACGCUGGCGGCAUGCCUAACACAUGCAAGUCGAACGGCAGCACGGCAGUAGCAAUACUGUGGGUGGCGAGUGGCGGACGGGUGAGGAAUACGUCGGAAUCUGCCCAGUCGUGGGGGAUAACUAGCCGAAAGGUUAGCUAAUACCGCAUACGACCGAGAGGUGAAAGCGGGGGACCGCAAGGCCUCGCGCGAUUGGAUGAGCCGACGUCGGAUUAGCUAGUUGGUGGGGUAAAGGCCCACCAAGGCGACGAUCCGUAGCUGGUCUGAGAGGAUGAUCAGCCACACUGGAACUGAGACACGGUCCAGACUCCUACGGGAGGCAGCAGUGGGGAAUAUUGGACAAUGGGCGCAAGCCUGAUCCAGCAAUGCCGCGUGUGU